This 253-nucleotide ribosomal RNA is filed under the name uncultured bacterium. RNAcentral describes it as "partial 16S ribosomal RNA". It matches the Rfam family "Bacterial small subunit ribosomal RNA", at positions 524 to 776 of the family's 1533-position model. The record is from RNAcentral.
GACGAACCGUGCGAACGUUGUUCGGAAUCACUGGGCUUAAGGGGCGCGUAGGCGGCCCGCCGCGUCCGGGGUGAAAUCCUCCCGCUCAACGGGAGGACGGCCUCGGAUACGGGCGGGCUGGAGGGGGGUAGGGGCACGCGGAACUGUGGGUGGAGCGGUGAAAUGCGUUGAGAUCCACAGGAACUCCGGUGGCGAAGGCGGCGUGCUGGACCCCACCUGACGCUGAGGCGCGAAAGCCAGGGGAGCGAACGGG